This 252-nucleotide ribosomal RNA is filed under the name uncultured bacterium. RNAcentral describes it as "partial 16S ribosomal RNA". It matches the Rfam family "Bacterial small subunit ribosomal RNA", at positions 524 to 776 of the family's 1533-position model. The record is from RNAcentral.
UACGGAGGAUGCGAGCGUUAUCCGGAUUUAUUGGGUUUAAAGGGUGCGUGGGCGGAUCGUUAAGUCAGUGGUCAAAUUGAGGGGCUCAACCCCUUCCCGCCAUUGAAACUGGCGCUCUUGAGUGGAAGAGAAGUAUGCGGAAUGCGUGGUGUAGCGGUGAAAUGCAUAGAUAUCACGCAGAACCCCGAUUGCGAAGGCAGCAUGCCGGCUUCCGACUGACGCUGAAGCACGAAAGCGUGGGGAGCAAACAGG